AAUAACACUAGCAUUUUGACAUAUUUGGAGCUGCUACUGGGCCAGCUCUGUUUCCAGGCCUGCCUUUCAAUCUUUUCCUUGCUUCUGGCAUGAGUUACCAUCUCUUUUAAGAAAUUGGUUAUGCAUUUGAAAAUACACGUAGCUAUACAUACUUUAAACAUAUCAUUUAGCAAGGAUGCUCCUUAUCGGACCGUUGCUGGGAACAGAGAACACGACAGUUCCAGGCUGUUUCCAAGAUUGGAUGAAGAGAUUCAAUUGACAAUGCUGUGAAGAGAGGGAUUUGGAGCUUGUUGGGGGAGGUAGUGUUGACUUCCUUGUGCAAUCUAGGAUUGAGUGGGGGAUGCAGUUGGAAGGCAAGAGAAGUAAGACUCCUCCAUCUUCCUGGUCCAGAGAAAUUAUGCUGGAUCCCCCUACCCUUAAUGAGAAAGGAGGUGUUUGUGUUUCCAGCAUCUAUGAGAUCUGAUUGCUAAUGUAGCUACCUUUAAAGAAUUCUGCUAUUUACAAUAAAAGUGAGAUCUCCCUCCUCCAUUUCCUGCCAAUUAUAGAGGCAGUCCUAUUUCAAAAUGCCAUUAAGCAUCCUUCUGAGCUGCGGAAAGUCAUAGGACCAGUCUUCAGCCGUGCCCAUUACAGUAGCAGUGACAGCACACCACUUUGCUCAUGAUACGGAUCAGGGUUAAUUUUCAAGUUUUGGAUGGUUCUCCCUCUUUGAGUUACCAUUUGUUUCUGCUUAUAACCUACUGAUCAUGCCUUUAGUACUAAGUAAAUAUUGAAAAGGGAAAGCCUUAGGUGGCUUGCGAAGGCUCUGAUGUAAAUAUGUGUUGCUGAGACGGGGAAGUGAAGGUGUUGGAUUAUGCAUGACUUUCACAUGUGUUCUUAUACCACAUUCGGUUAAUUUUCAAGUUUUGGGUGAUUUCCCCUCUUUGAGUUGCCAUUUGUUUCUGGUUACAACCCCUGAAAUAACAGCGCUCUCCAGCCAGAGGGAGAUUUGCCCCCCUUCCCCCAUGCAGGAGAUUCUCCUGUGGCGGCUCUGCAGAUCCAGGGAGCCCCACGACCAGACCUGGGAGAAAUUUUGGAAGCUGAGAGCAUCCUCACAGCAGCAGGCAGAACAGACAAGUGGGCCUGGGUCUCACAACCCUAAGGCAUUGAAUUCCACCAUGGAAUCAGAUCACAGCCAGACCUUUCCCA
Molecule: long non-coding RNA, 1185 nt
Filed under: Homo sapiens (human)
Lineage: Eukaryota; Metazoa; Chordata; Mammalia; Primates; Hominidae
Description: long non-coding RNA NONHSAT202321.1
Source: RNAcentral